UAGGGAAUCUUCGGCAAUGGGGGCAACCCUGACCGAGCAACGCCGCGUGAGUGAAGAAGGUUUUCGGAUCGUAAAGCUCUGUUGUAAGUCAAGAACGGGUGUGAGAGUGGAAAGUUCACACUGUGACGGUAGCUUACCAGAAAGGGACGGCUAACUACGUGCCAGCAGCCGCGGUAAUACGCAGGUCCCGAGCGUUGUCCGGAUUUAUUGGGCGUAAAGCGAGGGCAGGCGGUUUGAUAAGUCUGAAGUUAAAGGCUGUGGCUCAACCAUAGUUCGCUUUGGAAACUGUCAAACUUGAGUGCAGAAGGGGAGAGUGGAAUUCCAUGUGUAGCGGUGAAAUGCGUAGAUAUAUGGAGGAACACCGGUGGCGAAAGCGGCUCUCUGGUCUGUAACUGACGCUGAGGCUCGAAAGCGUGGGGAGCGAACAGG
RNAcentral lists this ribosomal RNA (429 nucleotides) under bacterium. RNAcentral describes it as "partial 16S ribosomal RNA". It matches the Rfam family "Bacterial small subunit ribosomal RNA", at positions 355 to 776 of the family's 1533-position model. The record is from RNAcentral.